AUGUGGUUUAUUUUCUACAAUUCAAGAUUGUAUUGGUGCAUCCAUCGCAUGCCCCCUAUUCAUUCAUCUAGGUAGUCCAUGAGGAUUGAGGACGCAUGAUGACUCAAGAUUUUAUGCUUCUUAUUUCUUAAAUUGCUUUUAAUUUCUUUGUUAAAUGUUAAGACUUUAUGUUAGAUAAUGUUAUAACUUAUUUAUGGCUAGUGUUUUUGUUAUGAACAUGCUUAUUUGAAUUAUAAUGAAGUUUUAUUUCUU
RNAcentral lists this long non-coding RNA (252 nucleotides) under Helianthus annuus (common sunflower). RNAcentral's name for it is "sRNA HanXRQr2_Chr02g0059401". Lineage: Eukaryota; Viridiplantae; Streptophyta; Magnoliopsida; Asterales; Asteraceae. The record is from RNAcentral.